GGUGGAUCACUUGUUCAAUGCACAUUAAAUGUGCAUCAGUUUGCAUCAAAUGCAUUUUUUGGACAUUCACAUCAACUUAGCCCUGACCUGUUGUUGCCAUAUAGCAACGCGCCAUUGUUUGUUUUAAAAGUUAUGAAGUAGUUGGUUCAAACUGGAAAUAUAUAAAAUUUGAAAUAGGAGCCUGACUGACGGUGCUCAGGGGUCUUUAAGCUAUUGGGCGUCUGAUUUUUGAGGACAUCAUACAUUUAUUCAAGGAAGAUCCCUGCGUACAACAUGGAGAAGAUAAACAUUGCUUAUCAGGAUUACAUUGUCCUACGUUCCCAUAAAAACAGUGCGCUUCAAAAUCUGGAUUAAUUGUAACAUUCUUCUCGAUCAACCAACAGUGUACGCUUUACUGGUGGCGAGUAUAAAUCCACAUCGAAUUUUCCAAUCCAAGUCUAGAUGGAAAUAUUCAAAAAUUACCCUCAACAAGGGUCUCGGAGUUCCGGAACAACUGUGUUUAAUUGUUUAAGUGUGGUUUAGUAAAUGAAUCAUUAUAAUAAAAAGGUUCGAGUCUUCGUCAAUUCAAUUUA
Molecule: long non-coding RNA, 572 nt
Organism: Aedes aegypti (yellow fever mosquito)
Lineage: Eukaryota; Metazoa; Arthropoda; Insecta; Diptera; Culicidae
Exons: 2
Source: RefSeq, a predicted model, not a curated record